Molecule: ribosomal RNA, 497 nt
Filed under: uncultured bacterium
Lineage: Bacteria
Description: partial 16S ribosomal RNA
Rfam family: Bacterial small subunit ribosomal RNA
Source: RNAcentral
GAUGAACGCUGGCGGCGUGCCUAAUACAUGCAAGUCGAGCGAACGGACGAGAAGCUUGCUUCUCUGAUGUUAGCGGCGGACGGGUGAGUAACACGUGGAUAACCUACCUAUAAGACUGGGAUAACUUCGGGAAACCGUAGCUAAUACCGGAUAAUAUUUUGAACCGCAUGGUUCAAAAGUGAAAGACGGUCUUGCUGUCACUUAUAGAUGGAUCCGCGCUGCAUGAGCUAGUUGGGAAGGUAACGGCUUACCAAGGCAACGAUGCAUAGCCGGCCUGAGAGGGUGAUCGGCCACACUAGAAGUGAGACACGGUCAAGACUCCUACGGGAGGCCGCAGUAGGGAAUGUUCCGCAAUGGGCGAAAGCCUGACGGAGCAACGCCGCGUGAGUGAUGACGGCCUUCGGAUCGUAAAACUCUGUUAUUAGGGAAGAACAUAUGUGUAAGUAACUGUGCACAUAUUGACGGUACCUAAUCAGAAAGCCACGGCUAACUACGUG